CGGGCUGUUCAGCAGCGGGGCCACUCCGGGCUGAGCGGCUUUAGUAAGCGCCCCUCCCCAGCCCAGGCGGACAGGUUGCCCCUAACCCGGAAUGAUUCGGAUCUGCUUCAACUGCCAGACUCUACUCAACUCAACGAUCCACCAAGUUUCCACAUAUUCUUACUGUACCUCCAGGAAGGAUGAAGAAUCACUGUACUAGACGUUACUGUGAAGAUUUUCAUUCAAACUCCCCACAGUUCACUCGAGUUGAAGAGGAGCUCCUUAAGUAACAUCCUACCACCAAAAUGUUCAUGCUACACAUGACAAUGCAAAGAAACAUGCUGGCAAUGGAAUCCUUAGGACCUGGCAGAAUGCGGAAACCCAAACGGAAGGAAUCUGAAAUUACACCACAGUUUCUAACCUAGUACUAAGGCCUUCUAGAAGAUAUCAGAAUAAGCCAGAUGUGGUCCCAGCUAUUUGGGAGGCUGAGGCCAGAGGAUCCCUUGAGCCCAGGUUUGGAACCAACCUGGGCAACACAGCAGGACCCUGAGACCCUGUGGAAUUAACAUCCCUUUUGUAAAGCUGAAGAUAUAUAUACAAGUGAUAUUCAUGGAAAAGGAAAGAACAAGCCUUCAUUUCUACUUAACUUACAAUAGCAUCUAAAUAUCCUUUCUUCUUAAUAAAAUACAAAAAAAUAAAAAUAAAAACUUUCACUGAAAACAUCCAGGUCAAAAUUUGACUGAAUCUAAAUGCACUUAAUAAAUGAGC
Long non-coding RNA from Sciurus carolinensis (gray squirrel), 747 nucleotides. RefSeq lists it as uncharacterized. The record is from RefSeq and is a predicted model, not a curated record. The transcript has 4 exons. Lineage: Eukaryota; Metazoa; Chordata; Mammalia; Rodentia; Sciuridae.